CCUACGGGCGGCAGCAGUGAGGAAUAUUGGUCAAUGGGCGCAAGCCUGAACCAGCCAAGUAGCGUGAGGGAUGAAGGCUCUACGGAUUGUAAACUUCUUUUAUAAAGGAAUAAAGUGAGGCACGUGUGCCUUUUUGUAUGUACUUUAUGAAUAAGGAUCGGCUAACUCCGUGCCAGCAGCCGCGGUAAUACGGAGGAUCCGAGCGUUAUCCGGAUUUAUUGGGUUUAAAGGGAGCGUAGAUGGGUUGUUAAGUCAGUGGUGAAAGUUUGAGGCUCAACCGUAAAAUUGCAAUUGAUACUGGCAGCCUUGAGUACAGUUGAGGCAGGCGGAAUUCGUGGUGUAGCGGUGAAAUGCUUAGAUAUCACGAAGAACCCCGAUUGCGAAGGCAGCCUGCUAAACUGUCACUGACACUGAUGCUCGAAAGCGUGGGGAGCAAACAGGAUUAGAUACCCUUGUAGUC
Molecule: ribosomal RNA, 460 nt
Filed under: uncultured bacterium
Lineage: Bacteria
Description: partial 16S ribosomal RNA
Rfam family: Bacterial small subunit ribosomal RNA
Source: RNAcentral